UGCAGCACCGGUAGCAGACAUCCACUGGGGUGGCGGGCUGAAGGAGGUACAAGUCGUGCAUUUAUUUAUAAAGUAAUCAAAACUGUUGCUAUUAUUAUUAUUCCACGCUCUUCUUAUCGCUGCGCUGCCCUCGACUAACAACGAGUCGAAAGCGGGCGCUGAACAGCGGCGGGCAGUUGCAAUAUUGCAACAAACUGUUGCUAAGUUGCUAUUUGGCGAGCGUGCGAAAUUUUUCGAAGUGUUCGCGGUACUCAAUCGUGAAAGCUUAAGUCUCGAACCCGCAGGACUGAACACAAGCACCCAAUACCAGCUCAAUGUCCGCGUUCAGAGAAAUCACCACAAUUACAAUUUGCACUUGGCUAAUUGUUAUAAAUAAUUACACAUGACUGAGGCACUACACCAUUAAAGCCAAGUUUCAUUACACAAGUUUGGGGAACAUUUAAACUACGGGGCGCUCUGGCACUUUGGUUCGAUACUUGCCUCCCCAGAAUCAAAUCUAAAAGUUCCACGUAUCUUCUUCGGUAUGAAAUAGAUUCUAUUUUGGAAUAUUUUUGGAAUAAAUAUAAUAAUAUUGGAUAAA
This 580-nucleotide long non-coding RNA is filed under the name Hermetia illucens (black soldier fly). RNAcentral describes it as "uncharacterized LOC119658726, transcript variant X1". The record is from RNAcentral. Lineage: Eukaryota; Metazoa; Arthropoda; Insecta; Diptera; Stratiomyidae.